UACGUAGGGCGCGAGCGUUGUCCGGAAUUAUUGGGCGUAAAGAGCUCGUAGGCGGCCUGUUGCGUCUGCUGUGAAAUCCCGGGGCUUAACCCCGGGCGUGCAGUGGAUACGGGCUGGCUGGAGGCAGGCAGGGGAGAACGGAAUUCCCGGUGUAGCGGUGAAAUGCGCAGAUAUCGGGAGGAACACCGGUGGCGAAGGCGGUUCUCUGGGCCUGUACUGACGCUGAGGAGCGAAAGCGUGGGGAGCGAACAGG
RNAcentral lists this ribosomal RNA (253 nucleotides) under uncultured bacterium. RNAcentral's name for it is "partial 16S ribosomal RNA". It matches the Rfam family "Bacterial small subunit ribosomal RNA", at positions 524 to 776 of the family's 1533-position model. The record is from RNAcentral.